This 1418-nucleotide ribosomal RNA is filed under the name uncultured bacterium. RNAcentral's name for it is "bacterial SSU rRNA". It matches the Rfam family "Bacterial small subunit ribosomal RNA". The record is from RNAcentral.
AUGAACGCUGGCGGCGUGCCUAACACAUGCAAGUCGAACGAAGAGGCCCCUUCGGGGGCACUUCAGUGGCGGACGGGUGAGUAACACGUAGGUACCUGCCCCGAAGUGGGGAAUAACGGUCCGAAAGGACCGCUAAUACCCCAUGUGAUCGCAAGAUUAAAGCCCCCUUCGGGGGAGCGCUUCGGGAGGGGCCUGCGGCCCAUCAGCUGGUUGGUAGGGUAAUGGCCUACCAAGGCGACGACGGGUAGGGGACCUGAGAGGGUGACCCCCCACACUGGCACUGACACACGGGCCAGACUCCUACGGGAGGCAGCAGUGAGGAAUAUUCCACAAUGGGCGCAAGCCGAGAUGGAGCAACGCCGCGUGGGCGAUGAAGGCCUUCGGGUCGUAAAGCCCUUUUCCGAGGGACGAGCAAGGACGGUACCUCGGGAAUAAGUACCGGCUGACUAUGUGCCAGCAGCCGCGGUAAGACAUAGGGUGCAAGCGUUAUCCGGAUUUACUGGGUGUAAAGCGCGUGUAGGUGGUCUUGUAAGUUGGACGUGAAAUCUCUCGGCUUAACUGGGAGGGGCCGUUCAAUACUGCGAGGCUUGAGGGCAGGAGAGGGAGGUGGAAUUCCCGGUGUAGUGGUGAAAUGCGUAGAUAUCGGGAGGAACACCAGUGGCGAAGGGCGGCCUCCUGGCCUGCUCCUGACACUGAGACGCGAAAGCUAGGGGAGCGAACGGGAUUAGAAACCCCGGUAGUCCUAGCCAUAAACGAUGGAUGCUGGGUGUCGGUGGUAUUGACCCCAUCGGUGCCGAAGCCAACGCGUUAAGCAUCCCACCUGGGGACUACGGCCGCAAGGUUAAAACUCAAAGGAAUUGACGGGAGCCCGCACAAGCAGCGGAGCGUGUGGUUUAAUUCGAUGCUACGCGAAGAACCUUACCCGGGUUUGACAUGCAGGUAGUAGUGAAGCGAAAGCGGAACGACCCUUCGGGGAGCCUGCACAAGUGCUGCAUGGCUGUCGUCAGCUCGUGCCGUGAGGUGUUAGGUUAAGUCCUGUAACGAGCGCAACCCCUAUCGUCAGUUACAUGUGUCUGACGAAACAGCCGGUCAUAAGCCGGAGGAAGGCGGGGAUGACGUCAAGUCCACAUGGCCUUUAUAUCCGGGGCUACACACACGCUACAAUGGCCGGUACAAUGGGUCGCCAAGCCGCGAGGCGGAGCCAAUCCUAUAAAGCCGGUCUCAGUUCGGAUUGCAGGCUGCAACCCGCCUGCAUGAAGUCGGAGUUGCUAGUAACCGCGCGUCAGCCAUAGUGCGGUGAAUACGUUCCCGGGCUUUGUACACACCGCCCGUCACGUCAUGGGAGCUGGUAACACCUGAAGCCGGUGUGCUAACCGCAAGGAGGCAGCUGUCGAAGGUGGGAUCGGUGACUGGGACGA